RNAcentral lists this ribosomal RNA (203 nucleotides) under uncultured bacterium. RNAcentral describes it as "partial 16S ribosomal RNA". It matches the Rfam family "Bacterial small subunit ribosomal RNA", at positions 1289 to 1500 of the family's 1533-position model. The record is from RNAcentral.
CAGUUCGGACUGUAGGCUGCAACUCGCCUACACGAAGCUGGAAUCGCUAGUAAUCGCGGAUCAGCACGCCGCGGUGAAUACGUUCCCGGGCCUUGUACACACCGCCCGUCAAGCCAUGGGAGCCGGGAGUGCCUGAAGUGCGCGGCCGCGAGGAGCGCCCUAGGGCAAGACUGGUGACUGGGGCUAAGUCGUAACAAGGUAAC